RNA transcript from Physeter macrocephalus (sperm whale), 342 nucleotides. It is a transcript of the gene named cAMP-dependent protein kinase inhibitor gamma, with no coding region annotated. The transcript is spliced from 3 exons. Lineage: Eukaryota; Metazoa; Chordata; Mammalia; Artiodactyla; Physeteridae. The record is from RefSeq and is a predicted model, not a curated record.
AACGGGCUCAGCUGCGCUCGGCGGGCGCCAGGCAGCCCGGAGGAGGCGCUGCGGGCCAGCGGCCCGGGCUCGGCUGGCGGCGGGACGGCAGGAGACGCGGAGAGAGGGAGAGAGAGAGGGCACGAGAGAUCCUGCCCGCACCCCUGGCCCGCUCUGCUAAUCUUGCUUACCCUCGGAAGGGAGGCGUUCUGAAUGCUGGCUUCUUAAGUUCGACCUUCCCUUCUGACUGAGGACCACUGGACUUGGAAGGAACUCUCUGCUCUUAAUUUCCGUAUUGAUUAGUCAACAGUGGAAAAUCUGAAGAGAUGCGAGCUGGAAAAAGAAACUAAACCAGGUGUGUAG